Long non-coding RNA from Homo sapiens (human), 1321 nucleotides. Ensembl annotates it as TRIM52 antisense RNA 1 (head to head). Its record names the gene TRIM52-AS1. Lineage: Eukaryota; Metazoa; Chordata; Mammalia; Primates; Hominidae. The record is from Ensembl.
ACCCUGCCCCGCCCCCUUUCCCGCUCCGCUCCGGGGCCGCCCUCUUUCCCUGCCUCGCGACACCCAGACCGAGACCUCGGGAAUGCUCCGGCCCCCUGCCGCCGUCUCCCGGCCCGGUUCUCUUUCACUAAAAAUAGGCGAUUCUGGCAGCGCCCCUCCUAUGGGGCCUUGGGGGCAAUUGGGGUUUUGUCUUAGAGCCCGUGUGGACCCGGAUGGCGACGGCAGCCCGAGGAGAGGGAGGGCUGACUGUAUGGUUGGCUUUCCGACGACCAGACCCUGCAGGAUUCGGCCUUUCCCUUUGGAGUUUUCCUCCAUCCCCCUCCGUCCCUCCCAGGGGAUGCCCGCAGGCCACAGUGGUCACUGAAGGUCAACCCUGAGCCGAAGGAGAAGUGGCCUCGACCCUGGGGACCCCUUCAGGUGCAGCUUGAGGGGGAACGGCCGCCUUUCCCGUUGGGCACCCAGCUGUGGCUGUGCCCUGUCCUCGCCCAGCUCCCGGCAUAGGCAUGCGCUCUGGGCCGGGGCCGGGGCCCCCCGCCUCCCCGGGAGGAAUCGCUGGGUUGACUCUGGGUCAGCAAAGGGAGCCCGGCCCUUUCUAGCGGGGGGACGUCCUGCAGCCGCUGGAGGAGGCUGAGUCACGCUUUUCCCACCAGAAGUCUACCUGUGCCUGCGCCCGCCGGACCUGCCGGCCUCUUCCUUCUCAUCCAGGGGGCCUCUUCUCCAGCCUCACGGAGGUGGGAAGCUUGCUGGAGGCCCCUACCUGCCUUUUGGGGAAGACCCCGAGGCUGGCCCACGCCCUGCUGGCAGGACCCUUCCUGACUGGGUCCACCGUUCUUCUGGGUCUCACCACUUCUCCCAGCCCCUGGGCUGCUUCCUCUCUCCCGUGUCUGGGACCCCAGAGGCACCACUUCCAUUCCAUACAAGCUUGCAGAGUCAAGACGAACUCUAACUCAUGGGAUGGACAAACUGGAAGAUGUAAAAUAAGUAAGGCUUUCUGGGCCAAAAAGCCUCUUCUUACAGAAAAUCAAAUUUUAAAAGAACAUUGACCUCAAAACAAUAAAACUGUCCUGGUUAUGCAAUAGAAAUAGCUAUAUAAAUGGAAUCAUAUCCUUAAUGAACACCUCCUGUGGCUACCCAACUUUUCACACAUCUUACUGAUUAUAGGCCUUGCUGUGAAUGCUUUCUUGCUCUAUCUGAAGUAUUCCCACCAGAGUUGUUUCCAACUUUAUUUCCUAUAUUAUGAAAAAUGAAGUUUUUUUAACAUUGUAACAAAGUAUAUGAAAGAUAAUGUAUACUGUAUUAAAUAAACCAUUAUACAAAAAUA